GCAGGACUAGACUCAGAAGUGACC
This 24-nucleotide non-coding RNA is filed under the name Cricetulus griseus (Chinese hamster). The record is from RNAcentral. Lineage: Eukaryota; Metazoa; Chordata; Mammalia; Rodentia; Cricetidae.